This 301-nucleotide ribosomal RNA is filed under the name uncultured bacterium. Its description in RNAcentral is "partial 16S ribosomal RNA". It matches the Rfam family "Bacterial small subunit ribosomal RNA", at positions 509 to 807 of the family's 1533-position model. The record is from RNAcentral.
CAGCAGCCGCGGUAAAACGUAGGUGGCAAGCGUUGUCCGGAACUAUUGGGCGUAAAGGGCUCGCAGGCGGUUUCUUAAGUCUGAUAUGAAAGCCCCCGGCUCAACCGGGGAGGGUCAUUGGAAACUGGGAAACUUGAGUGCAGAAGAGGAGAGUGGAAUUCCACGUGUAGCGGUGAAAUGCGUAGAGAUGUGGAGGAACACCAGUGGCGAAGGCGACUCUCUGGUCUGUAACUGACGCUGAGGAGCGAAAGCGUGGGGAGCGAACAGGAUUAGAUACCCCCGUAGUCCCUGUCUCUUAUAC